This 164-nucleotide ribosomal RNA is filed under the name Rubus nubigenus. RNAcentral's name for it is "5.8S ribosomal RNA". It matches the Rfam family "5.8S ribosomal RNA". From Rfam's summary of the family: 5.8S ribosomal RNA (5.8S rRNA) is a component of the large subunit of the eukaryotic ribosome. It is transcribed by RNA polymerase I as part of the 45S precursor that also contains 18S and 28S rRNA. The record is from RNAcentral. RNAcentral also lists the same sequence under 2 other names. Lineage: Eukaryota; Viridiplantae; Streptophyta; Magnoliopsida; Rosales; Rosaceae.
UAAACGACUCUCGGCAACGGAUAUCUCGGCUCUCGCAUCGAUGAAGAACGUAGCGAAAUGCGAUACUUGGUGUGAAUUGCAGAAUCCCGUGAACCAUCGAGUCUUUGAACGCAAGUUGCGCCCGAAGCCAUUAGGCUGAGGGCACGCCUGCCUGGGCGUCACAC